RNAcentral lists this long non-coding RNA (539 nucleotides) under Rattus norvegicus (Norway rat). RNAcentral describes it as "long non-coding RNA NONRATT026931". The record is from RNAcentral. Lineage: Eukaryota; Metazoa; Chordata; Mammalia; Rodentia; Muridae.
CGGUGCCUCGCACAGUCUCUAGCACAGCAGUUCUUCGGAUGUUUCAUCUCCAGAAUGUCUUGGUCUGAUGAGUGGGUGCUGAAGGGAAUUUCAGGUUAUAUUUAUGGACUGUGGAUGAAGAAAACGUUUGGUGUCAAUGAGUACCACCAUUGGAUUAAAGAGGAACUCGAUAAAAUAGUGGCAUAUGAACUGAAAACUGGGGGAGUUUUACUGCAUCCCAUAUUUGGUGGUGGAAAAGAAAAGGAUAACCCCGCAUCUCACCUCCACUUUUCAAUAAAGCAUCCACAUACACUGUCUUGGGAAUACUACACUAUGUUUCAGUGUAAAGCUCACCUCGUGAUGAGACUGAUUGAAAACAGAAUCAGCAUGGAAUUUAUGCUGCAAGUUUUCAAUAAACUAUUAAGUCUGGCCAGUACCGCUUCAUCCCAGAAGUUCCAGUCACAUAUGUGGAGCCAGAUGCUGGUCUCCACCUACGGGUUUUUGAAGUCCAUUUCCAAUGUCUCUGGCAAAGACAUCCAGCCCUUAAUAAAGCAGUGGGU